RNAcentral lists this non-coding RNA (494 nucleotides) under Pan troglodytes (chimpanzee). Lineage: Eukaryota; Metazoa; Chordata; Mammalia; Primates; Hominidae. The record is from RNAcentral.
GCACACCCCAGCGGCUCCUCCACACGGAGAGAUGGUGUCAGUCAAAGGCCGUCUAGAUGACGAGUUUAUGAAAUUGUUCCUGGCCCGUGCCGGGCACGACCUUGCAGAGAGCCCAGAAGAUGAAACCCCAGCCCUGCCAGGAGCUCACCUGCUAAUUAGGAGGACAACGAAUCACCUCACCUCCCUAGACUUUGCUUCUCCUUUAUUCAGUGAGGGAUUGGACUAGCUGGUCCUUAAGGACUUUUCAGAAAGUCUGGUUCUGGGAGAUGACCAAUGGGAUCAUCUUAUGCUAUAAGCUUUCCUGGAAUGACAGGUAAUGGAGAGUGAGGAGAUUUUACCUGAUAUGGUCCUGUUUGCACCAUCAGCCAGCAACCUUUCUGGGAAGCAUGCUUAUUAUGUACCAACAUAGAAGCUUGAAUAUAAGGUAUGCAGUCCCAAUUUCCUGAUCUCAGAUUGAAAUGUUCAAGCUGUAUAACAUUAAAUUCAAAGAACCA